GCUGAAAUUCUAGAGCAGAAUCCCUGGGGCAGCCCCUGCUGAAGGAGGGUGCAUCUGUUGAAAAUCUCACCGCCGCCCCCACCCCGCCCAGCCUUCAAUUUAGAGGAAUUUCUAGUUCAUGCAGAAUGAAGACAAGAUCACAUAAGUGAGGAUGACGCCCUAUUUACAAGUGUGGUUUGGAAGACUGAAGUGGAAACCUUGGGAAAGGGCCUCAGAGUAUGUCAGCUGGGGUCAGACGGGAACAGGAGGCUGGCUCAACACACAUUUAUUGCACUCCUGCUUCAUGCCAAGAAAUGCACCAAAAUCUGGAAUUGUGUAACACAGCAAAGGAAAAGACUCAUCUCCAGGAAGCCCCCUUGUCUAGGAAGAGAAAUUGAAUAUCAGCAUAAGGUGGUGAAAAGCUGUGAAGGAGAUGAGUGCCACAAGUCCAUGGAGGAAGGAUUCUAGCCUGGACAGGUGAUAGUGGUGAAUAGUCAUGAGAAUCCGGGAACUGGCUCCUGCUCUGUCUAUCUUGGAGAUGCAUCUUUUGUGAGAGGCCAGGGCAAGAAUAGGGAGGCUUAGGCAAUGGGGAGUUUCUGAGUAGAUAAAGCAGAUGGCAGAGCAAAGGGAUAGAGCCUGGAGAGAGGCUACUUCCUGUAGCAACCUGCUUAAGAGUGAGAGGAAAGCAAGGCAUGGCUAUGAGCACGUGUAGUCUCAGCUACUUGGGAAGCUGAGGCUGGGGGAUCACUUGAGCCCAGGAGUUCAAGACCAGCCUAGGCAACAUGGUGAGA
Molecule: long non-coding RNA, 770 nt
Filed under: Pongo abelii (Sumatran orangutan)
Lineage: Eukaryota; Metazoa; Chordata; Mammalia; Primates; Hominidae
Description: lincRNA
Source: RNAcentral